ACUCAAAGGAAUUGACGGGGGCCCGCACAAGCAGCGGAGCAUGUUGCUUAAUUCGAGGCAACGCGAAGAACCUUACCUGGGUUUGACAUGUAGAGAAAAGCCAUAGAGAUAUGGUGUCCUUCGGGGUUCUACACAGGUGGUGCAUGGUUGUCGUCAGCUCGUGUCGUGAGAUGUUGGGUUAAGUCCCGCAACGAGCGCAACCCUUGUCCUAUGUUGCCAGCACGUUAUGGUGGGGACUCGUAGGAGACUGCCGGGGUCAACUCGGAGGAAGGUGGGGACGACGUCAAAUCAUCAUGCCCCUUAUAUCCAGGGCUGCAAACAUGCUACAAUGGCCGGUACAAAGGGCUGCGAAACCGCGAGGUGGAGCGAAUCCCAGAAAGCCGGUCUCAGUUCGGAUUGGAGUCUGCAACUCGACUCCAUGAAGCUGGAGUUGCUAGUAAUCCCGGAUCAGCAACGCCGGGGUGAAUACGUUCCCGGGCCUUGUACACACCGCCCGU
RNAcentral lists this ribosomal RNA (497 nucleotides) under uncultured bacterium. Its description in RNAcentral is "partial 16S ribosomal RNA". It matches the Rfam family "Bacterial small subunit ribosomal RNA", at positions 899 to 1397 of the family's 1533-position model. The record is from RNAcentral.